GCAGCAUCGCCGCCUUUUUGGCUAAGAUCAUGUAGUAUCUGUUCUUAUCAGUUUAAUAUUCGAUACGCCCCUAUCCGGACUACAUAUUAAAUUGAUUUGGGAGCAAGGAGCUGGAGCGGGGCUUGCUCUGUCCACUCCACGCAUCGGCUGGUUUAUUGCCGUGUUGCCAGGAAACGGUUGUUCCACG
This is a small nuclear RNA of Cyprinus carpio (common carp), 187 nucleotides long. RefSeq annotates it as U2 spliceosomal RNA. The transcript has a single exon. Lineage: Eukaryota; Metazoa; Chordata; Actinopteri; Cypriniformes; Cyprinidae. The record is from RefSeq and is a predicted model, not a curated record.